CCCUUAGAUGUUCUGGGCCGCACGCGUGCUACACUGAGUGGAUCAGCGGGUCAGGUUGCUCGAAAGCGUUUCCUAAUCUUUAAAUCCGCUCGUGAUGGGGAUUGACGGUUGCAAUUUUCUGUCAUGAACGAGGAAUACCUUGUAAGCGCGGGUCAGCAUCCCGCGCUGAAUACGUCCCUGCCCUUUGUACACACCGCCCGUCGCUCCUACCGAUUGAGUGGUCCGGUGAGGCUUUGGGAUCUGAGCGGAAAGAGCGUUUCGCUGUUUCUGCUCGGAAAACUCAGUCGAACCUUAUCAUUUAGAGGAAGGAGAAGUCGUAACA
RNAcentral lists this ribosomal RNA (322 nucleotides) under uncultured eukaryote. RNAcentral describes it as "partial 18S ribosomal RNA". It matches the Rfam family "Eukaryotic small subunit ribosomal RNA", at positions 1470 to 1796 of the family's 1831-position model. The record is from RNAcentral.